Molecule: RNA transcript, 2716 nt
Organism: Carassius auratus (goldfish)
Lineage: Eukaryota; Metazoa; Chordata; Actinopteri; Cypriniformes; Cyprinidae
Gene name: general transcription and DNA repair factor IIH helicase subunit XPD-like
Exons: 25
Source: RefSeq, a predicted model, not a curated record
GAUUCUCGUGCUUCUAAAACGCCUGUAUAAAUCGAUAGACGCUUGUUGUGUAAUUCACAUGACAGUUAAAUAUACAGCUAUAUAAAUGUUUGAAACUAUAGAAAACUGACUACGAGAAAAACACCAGAGCUGUAAAGUUUAAGUACCAGCAAACAUGAAGCUGAAUAUCGACGGCUUAUUAGUUUACUUCCCGUAUGACUACAUUUAUCCUGAACAAUACUCGUACAUGCUCGAGCUGAAGAGGACGCUGGAUGCGAAGGGUCAUGGAGUUCUCGAAAUGCCCUCAGGGACCGGAAAAACUAUUUCUCUUCUCUCACUCAUCGUUGCUUACCAGAAGGCUUACCCUUUAGAAGUCACAAAGCUUGUCUACUGUUCCCGCACCGUGCCUGAGAUAGAGAAGGUUGUGGAGGAGCUUAGGAAACUAAUGGAUUAUUAUACUAAGCAAACAAAAGCGAAAAAUGACUUCCUUGCACUGGCACUUUCUUCACGGAAAAAUCUGUGCAUUCAUCCAGAGGUGAGCUCCCUGCGGUUUGGAAAAGAAGUAGAUGGAAAGUGUCACAGUCUGACAGCAUCCUAUAUUCGAGCUCAGCAUCACAGUAAUCCAAGUCAACCGGUCUGCCAAUUCUUUGAGGAAUUUGAUGCAGUAGGCAGACAGGUGCCCAUUGCUCCUGGUAUAUAUAACUUGGAUGAUCUGAAGGACUUUGGACGUAGAAAAGGCUGGUGUCCGUACUUCCUGGCACGUUAUGCAAUUCUUCACGCUAACAUCGUGGUGUACAGCUACCAUUACUUACUAGAUCCCAAAAUUGCAGACCUGGUCUCGAAAGAGCUUGCAAAGAAAUCUGUGGUUGUGUUUGACGAGGCGCACAACAUCGAUAAUGUGUGUAUUGAUUCCAUGAGCGUCAACAUUACCAGGAGGACGCUGGAUCGCUGCCAGACUAAUGUGGAAACCCUGCAAAACACCAUUAGCAGAAUUAAGGAAACAGAUGCUGCCAAACUCAGAGAAGAAUACAGGAGAUUAGUUGAAGGUCUUAAAGAAGCAAAUGUUGCCAGAGAAACUGACAUGUAUCUGUCCAAUCCAGUUCUGCCAGAUGAAAUCCUCCAAGAGGCUGUACCUGGCAGCAUUCGCACUGCAGAGCACUUUGUGGGCUUCAUGAAGCGCUUUCUUGAAUACCUGAAGGCACGUUUGCGGAUCCAUCAUGUGGUGCAGGAGAGCGCUCCUCAGUUCCUCAAAGACAUCUAUGAGAAGGUCUGCAUUGACCGCAAACCUCUGAGAUUUUGUGCCGAGAGGCUACGCUCACUGCUGAGGACACUAGAGAUUGCAGACAUUGCUGACUUCUCAGCCGUUACCCUGAUCUCACACUUUGCCACACUUGUCAGCACCUACAGCAAAGGCUUCACCAUCAUCAUUGAGCCCUUUGAAGAUAGAACGCCAACAAUAGCAAAUCCUGUUCUUCACUUCAGUUGCAUGGACCCCUCUAUCGCCAUAAAGCCAGUGUUUGGGCGCUUUCAAUCAGUCAUUAUUACAUCAGGGACUCUCUCUCCGCUGGACAUCUAUCCACGCAUCCUUGAUUUCCGCCCAGUCACUAUGGCAUCUUUCACCAUGACACUGGCACGAACCUGCCUGUGCCCUCUUAUUGUUGGCCGAGGGAAUGAUCAGGUAGCGAUGACCUCCAAGUUUGAGACCAGAGAAGACUUUGCUGUGAUCCGGAACUAUGGAAACCUGCUCCUGGAAAUGUCUGCCAUCGUUCCUGAUGGAAUCGUUGCCUUUUUCACAAGCUACAUCUACAUGGAGAACAUUGUGGCCUCAUGGUAUGAACAGGGGAUCUUAGAGAACAUCCAAAGAAACAAGCUCAUUUUCAUAGAAACCCAGGAUGCAGCUGAGACCAGCAUGGCCCUGGAGAAGUAUCAAGAGGCCUGUGAGAACGGCAGAGGAGCAAUUCUGCUUUCAGUGGCAAGAGGGAAAGUGUCAGAGGGCAUUGACUUUGUUCAUCAUUAUGGUCGUGCCGUUAUCAUGUUUGGAGUGCCGUAUGUUUAUACCCAGAGCAGAAUCCUAAAGGCACGACUGGAAUACCUCCGAGACCAAUUUCAAAUCCGGGAAAAUGACUUUCUGACAUUUGAUGCGAUGCGUCAUGCGGCUCAGUGUGUGGGGAGAGCCAUUCGAGGCAAAACAGACUACGGCCUGAUGAUCUUUGCAGAUAAGCGUUACGCACGAGCGGAUAAGCGAGGAAAGCUGCCCCGCUGGAUCCAGGAACACCUUACAGACGGAAGCCUAAAUCUGACCAUCGAUGAGACUGUGCAGUUAGGCAAGCACUUUCUCCGACAGAUGGCCCAGCCCUUCAGACGGGAGGAUCAGUUGGGUCUGUCUCUGCUGACUCUGGAACAACUGCAGUCUGAGGACAUGCUUAAGAAAAUUGCUCAGAUCGCUCAACAAGCCUGAGGUCUCAAAGCGAACAAAGUCUGGCAGAUAUGUGUAUAUGAGAAACAUGCUGUCUCAAAAGCAGCUGUAGAGGGCACACGAGCACACUAAAUUGAGGGAAACAACUGAAGGACACCAGGAGUUGGACACCAGCUAUUGAUUGCUGCAGCUGGGCCCGGGCCAGCUCGUCCCUCAGCCACUGGUUCUCCUGGCACAACCUCCGCACCUGAGCACGCAACUUCUGCUUCUCUGCCUCCAAGGACCCCAGGUGUGCUGACAGUGCCAUCAUCACCUGGAUGA